RNAcentral lists this unclassified non-coding RNA (358 nucleotides) under Basidiomycota sp. RNAcentral's name for it is "partial contains small subunit ribosomal RNA, internal transcribed spacer 1, and 5.8S ribosomal RNA". The stretch from base 1 to 47 matches the Rfam family "Eukaryotic small subunit ribosomal RNA", at positions 1785 to 1831 of the family's 1831-position model. Lineage: Eukaryota; Fungi; Basidiomycota. The record is from RNAcentral.
AAAGUCGUAACAAGGUUUCCGUAGGUGAACCUGCGGAAGGAUCAUUAUAGAUUAUUUUCAAAAAAUAAAUUGGGUCAGGUUGUUGCUGGCUUUUUCAAAAAGGAAAAGCAUGUGUGCACACCUUGCUUCAGUUUUUUUGAUCACCCUGUGCACCUCUUGUAGGUCUCGAACUGAUCGUUUUUCAGUGAAGAUAUUAAAAACUCUUCCCUGGUUGUGAGAAGAUGGUUUCAAAAACUCUUCUUGUGAUGAUGUUCAGAUCUAUGUUAUUUUCUUUCUACAUAAUACAUUUUGCUUAGUGGAAUGAUUGAUAAAAAUUCAAUUGUGAAAACAACUUUCAACAACGGAUCUCUUGGCUCUC